This 2059-nucleotide long non-coding RNA is filed under the name Homo sapiens (human). Its description in RNAcentral is "HSALNT0305932". Lineage: Eukaryota; Metazoa; Chordata; Mammalia; Primates; Hominidae. The record is from RNAcentral.
AAACUGCCCUGCUUCCUAUGGUUCCUUUGAUGCUGAUUUGCUUCUUUAAGCCUUCCUUCCUUCCAAACCAUGAAUCAGGUCCUUCCAGAGGCUAAGAAUUAAGUUCACAAUUAAGGCGACUCCCUCACUGUUUCCUCUGCUUUCAGAGAGGGGAAAAUACUUCCAGGACAAGUCAAGAAUUUAUCAGAUGCUCUGCUUUCAGCAGCCUGAAACUUUCAGCAGGAACACGAUAGCCGAAAUCCCAUGCCACUUCUUCUAUUGAGGCUUCCGUUUAAAUCAGAUUAGGGUGAGCCACAAGAAAAAUUCUUCAGAGAUACGAGUCGUGGGCGUAAAACAGCAGCUGUUGUGUAGCUCACACAAGUUCUUGCUAAUCUGCUGGUUUUUAAACUCGUGAUCUGACUUGUCUGAGAGCAUGCCUUGUGGACUUCAAGCCCCAGCAUGAGAUCCAGUGAUAACAGCCUUGCAGAGACUACUUCCAACCUCCACAAUUGUAUAAGCCAGGUCCCCGUAACAAAUCUCAUACUGGUUCUGCUUCCCUGGUUGAAAUUUGAAUACAGUCACUCUAUUGACCAGGACGACCCUGUUGCAGUACAUGGUUGUCUGCAGUCACCUGGCUGGUAGAUUCCUCCAAAUCUAGGGGGAAGGACUAAAGGGCCCCCAAGAGGCUAUAGUGAUGAUGUGAUAAUUAAUUUUAUGUGUCAACUUGAGUGGGCUGAAGGAUGCCCAGAAAGGUGGUAAAACAUUAUUUGGGAGGGUAUCUAUGAAGGUGUUUCAAGAAGAAAUUAGCAUCAAAAUCUGUAGACAGAGUAAAGAAGAUCUGCCCUCCCCAGUGUGGGUAGGCAUCAUUCCAUCACUUGAUGGUGCAGAAAAGGUAAAAAGGUGGAAGAAGGGCAAAUUCUCUCUCUUUUUCAGCUGAGACAUCCACCUUCUGCAGAAAGGCAUAGGAGCUCCCGGCUCUCAAGCCUUCAGACUCUGGAACUUUUACCAGUGGCCUCCCAGUUCUCAGGACUGUGGACUUGAUCUGAAUUACACCACUGGCUUUCCUGGUUUUCCAGCUGCAGAUGGCAGAUCAUGGGACUUAUUCCCAUGUGAGCCAAUUCCCAUAUUAAACCUCCUCUCCUGCCUCUCUAUAUAUCCUAUAGUUUCUGUUUUUCUGAAGAAUCCUGACUAUACCAACAACUUGGAAACUUAGAAGUAACAGGUAAUAACAAUGAUGCUGCGGAUACAAACAUGACAGGUACACAGCAUGUACUAAAUGUAGGGUCCCAGUACUACAGACUCAUUUUUUUCUCACCAACCACCCUAUAAAAUAGGUACUGUUAUUUUAUCUCCCUCUAUACUCUGAGGCACACAUAGCUGAAAUAACUCGCCAGUAAGUAGAAAGCCAAAAUUAAACUCAGGUACUCUGGCUCCAGAAUCUGUGCUCUUCAAUACUAUUGCACCAUUCCAAAUCAACCUAAAUGUAAUGCUUUCCAUCCUCUGGCUACCCUGACUUUUAGAAAUUUUUCACAACAGAAAAAUAGUGUGCUAGCCUGUGACAGUGCAGCCAGGAAACUUCUGUUCUGGUCCUGAUUUCACCACUGACUGGCUGUUGUUAAAGCAAACUAAGUAUGGCCUGAGAAGGACCGCAUACUUCUGUAUCUGAGUGAUUGUGGAUGAACUGUAACCUAGCUUAACAGGCAGACUAAUAGGCCUAAUAACAGGCGAAUAGACUAAUAGGCCAAGCUCUAACCAAUCCAGCCAUCUGUUCCUCACUUCCAAUUUCUGUACGUCACUUCCCUUUUUUUUUCCCUUCUACCAUGUGGCUGCGCUGGAGUCUCUGUGAAUCUGCUGUGAUAGUGGGGGCUGCCCGAUUCGUGAAUCAUUCAUUGUUCAAUUAAACACCUUUAAAUUUAACCUGGGUGAAGCUUUUCUUUUAUCACUGUGUAGCAUUGGGCAGGUCAGGCUAACUUCCUUACUUGUAAAAUGAUCUCAGUGCCUUCUUCCAGCUAUAAAAGUUCACAAUUCUAUGGUGUUAAAGUUCUGAUUAUGAUGUUAAAAGAUCCUUGGAAAAAAGCUG